GACGAACGCUGGCGGCGUGCUUAACACAUGCAAGUCGAACGAAAAUACCAAGCUUGCUUGGUUGAUUAGUGGCGAACGGGUGAGUAACACGUGAGUAACCUGCCCCUUACUUUCCUGGAUAACUGCUCGAAAGGGUAGCUAAUACGGGAUAUUCUGACCAGCCUGCAUGGGUUGGUUUGGAAAGGUUGUUUUUCUGGUAAGGGAUGGGCUCGCGGCCUAUCAGCUUGUUGGUGGGGUGAUGGCCUACCAAGGCUUUGACGGGUAGCCGGCCUGAGAGGGUGGACGGUCAGACUGGGACUGAGAUACGGCCCAGACUCCUACGGGAGGCAGCAGUGGGGAAUAUUGCACAAUGGGCGCAAGCCUGAUGCAGCGACGCCGCGUGAGGGAUGAAGGCCUUCGGGUUGUAAACCUCUUUCGUCAGGGAACAAGGCACUGCUUUUUUGGUGGUGUUGAGGGUACCUGGAGAAGAAGCGCCGGCUAACUACGUG
This 488-nucleotide ribosomal RNA is filed under the name uncultured bacterium. RNAcentral describes it as "partial 16S ribosomal RNA". It matches the Rfam family "Bacterial small subunit ribosomal RNA", at positions 28 to 507 of the family's 1533-position model. The record is from RNAcentral.